GGCACAAGAUUUUCUUCCCAACUUCUUGGAGAACGACCACCGAUAGUUUGAUUUUCUCCUUCAAAUAGCCCUUCCACAGUAGCAGAACAGCCCCCCAAAAAGCUUUCUUCCAAGUAUGAAUCGCACGAACUUGGCUCUGAUACCAGGAAUUAUUGGAUUCGUCUCCUCAAUCUACUGCACAAUGCCCUACACACAGCAAAAAUGAGAAAACCAGAGGAGAAAGAAAGGGAACAGAUUUAAAACUGUUUCUACUAUUAGUUUAGGUGAUGGCCAAUAUCUGAUAUAUAAAGGCCUUACAAAAAAGACGAAUCUAGAAAAUCUAUAACAGAAAAUGAAAACAGACUCUACACUAUAGGAAAUAAAAAAAUAAAAUAACAUCUCACCUAUGACUCAGUCUACUAACAACUUCUUCCAUUAUUUUGCAUCACUAUUCAACAAAGAGUCCAAUCCUUGAUUAGUAGAAUCAUAUAUCUGGCUAGAUCUGAAUUAUGCAGUGCGUCAUAUCUGAAUAUGAGAUUGUUUCACUCUUUCAUACCAAAAUCCCAUCGAGAUAAUUGUGUGGUAAGUUGAGAGAGUAUCUUUCUUGGGUGGCGAGAUCUCCCAAUGAUGCAAGACAUCCCAUAUUCUCUCUAGAAGUUGUUGAUUUGUGGUUGUAUGUAGUAUGGGAUUCCAGAAUAACUUGGAGUAAUCACAUGUAAGUAGUAAAGGAUUCAAAAAUGAGGAGCAUAGCAAAUAGGAACUUGGGCCUUGAAUGCCUUUCUUCUAAAUAUUGUUUGCUGUGAGAAGCUU
RNAcentral lists this long non-coding RNA (789 nucleotides) under Elaeis guineensis (African oil palm). RNAcentral describes it as "long non-coding RNA (EGUI_LNC002786)". The record is from RNAcentral. Lineage: Eukaryota; Viridiplantae; Streptophyta; Magnoliopsida; Arecales; Arecaceae.